Molecule: ribosomal RNA, 301 nt
Filed under: uncultured bacterium
Lineage: Bacteria
Description: partial 16S ribosomal RNA
Rfam family: Bacterial small subunit ribosomal RNA
Source: RNAcentral
CAGUCGCCGCGGUAAUACGAGGGGGGCGAGCGUUGUUCGGAAUUAUUGGGCGUAAAGGGUGCGUAGGCGGUUCGGUAAGUCUUAUGUGAAAUCUUCGGGCUCAACUCGAAGUCUGCAUGAGAAACUGCCGGGCUUGAGUGUGGGAGAGGUGAGUGGAAUUUCCGGUGUAGCGGUGAAAUGCGUAGAUAUCGGAAGGAACACCUGUGGCGAAAGCGGCUCACUGGACCACAACUGACGCUGAUGCACGAAAGCUAGGGGAGCAAACAGGAUUAGAUACCCCGGUAGUCCCUGUCUCUUAUAC